ACCCAAAAAUAUUUUUUUAAAUUGUUUUAUGUGGACUUUGCUACACUGGAUUUCUUCCUGCUUGUUUUUUUGUUUGCCUUUUUAUUUUUCCCAUAGGUGAAGAGGAUGUGGAAGAUAGACCAUACAUGGAAAUCUGUGAAUCCUAUGCUGGCAUCUGUAUGAAGGAUCAUUUUGUGGGAGGGCCUGUUACAUCAUUUCCAUGAUCUGCUCUCACUUUCCACUGCAAUGGCUGUAUGGGAAAUGCAUCUGCUUCUACAACUGAGCUUUAACGAGCACCAGUCCUCUUCUGCUACAAGGAACCUGUAAAGAGCAACAGCAAUUAAGGAGGGGGGAAAGAAGUUGAAACAGUAAUUCCAAGUGGUUUUCUCCUCAGGACUUCUGGAUCUCACCACUGACUUUCUAGCAGCCAGGCAAAGGCAGGAAGGACAUCUGCUAAUAUCCAAGCAGGCUCUUCCAGGACAAGUUCUGGUUUGCCACAGUGAGGAUGGAAGACUCCCCAUUGGCUUCCCCUUUCUUUUAAAUAAGAUGGCUGCAUCCACUACAAUCUCCAGCCCCCUCACUGCCUUGCUGCAGAGCUAUCUAACAUCAAGGUAUGAGCAAGAAACCCUUGGAGAUGCCCCCUGGAAAUCUUAGAGAGCUGCAUGAAUCCUCCUCCUCUCUGCAGAUCGAGACCUCAUCCAAGGAAAUUCCAAGGAACUUUUCUGAGGUGAGAGCAACCUCAGCUGCUCUUUUGCUGGCAGGCACCAUCACCUGGGCUGAUUCCAGAGCUGGGGAAUCACAGCUCCUAGUCCCAGGAGAAAGCCCCCAACACCCUAAAGCACUCUGGAUGAGGAAUCCCGUCUCUCUUUUAUUCUGAUUUUGUGGGGGAAAUAAUUAGGCUACAGGGACAGCUGAGAAGGAUUUUUACUUCUAGUUGCAAGUAUCAAUGUAGGUGCUUCAACUUCACCUGAACUGCUCUGUGGGUGCAUGACUGGGUUAUUUGUCCAUGUGCUGACAUGUAGGUUUGCUUAUUCAUACUCUCCCUCCUUCUGUUGUGUUUUUUCUGCUCUGUGUGCAAACAUGAAUAAAGCAGCGAGGUGGCUGAAGGGAGACAAGGCCCCCAAGUUUUAAUCUCUGUUCCAUCACAAAUUCAAUGUUUGUCCUUGAGAAACUCAUGGUAAUUUCUCUUAUGUUCUUCAGAAUUACUUCUGCUGUAUAGAAUUUAGUAAAUAAGUGCCCAGCAAACACGCUUGGAUCAAACAGUUCCAGGACAGACAGUGCCCUUCAUCAUUUCC
Motacilla alba alba is the source of this 1274-nucleotide long non-coding RNA. RefSeq lists it as uncharacterized. The transcript has 5 exons. NCBI's taxonomy places the organism in Eukaryota, Metazoa, Chordata, Aves, Passeriformes, Motacillidae. The record is from RefSeq and is a predicted model, not a curated record.